GCCGGGUGUGGUGGUGUGCACCUGUAAUCCCAGCUACUCAGGAGGCUGAGGCAGGAGAAUCACUUGAACCUGGGAGGCAGAGGUUGCAGUGAGCUGAGAUCACACCAUUGCCCUCCAGCCUGGGUGACAAAGUGAGAUUCUGUCUCAA
This 148-nucleotide small RNA is filed under the name Macaca mulatta (Rhesus monkey). RNAcentral's name for it is "Metazoan signal recognition particle RNA (ENSMMUG00000053758.1)". The record is from Rfam by way of RNAcentral. Lineage: Eukaryota; Metazoa; Chordata; Mammalia; Primates; Cercopithecidae.